This is a long non-coding RNA of Papaver somniferum (opium poppy), 227 nucleotides long. RefSeq lists it as uncharacterized. The transcript is spliced from 3 exons. Lineage: Eukaryota; Viridiplantae; Streptophyta; Magnoliopsida; Ranunculales; Papaveraceae. The record is from RefSeq and is a predicted model, not a curated record.
UUACUCAUUGCUGGUGCUCCACUUGGUGAAGAAUUGAAGGGGAUUUUGAUUCAUGUGUGAAGGUGGGAACCCGUUCUGCGUUACUCAACUUUGGAUCACCAGUGGAUGCAUCUCAGCUAUAUAAAUUACUCCAUGCCCUUCAUCCACAUCCUCAUUAGAAGAAAAAUUAGCAGGCAGAGGUGCACCUGGAACAUAUUUGUACUCUACCUGGAAGCAGUGCAGCAAAU